Molecule: ribosomal RNA, 549 nt
Filed under: uncultured bacterium
Lineage: Bacteria
Description: bacterial SSU rRNA
Rfam family: Bacterial small subunit ribosomal RNA
Source: RNAcentral
AAUAGAUACCCAGGUAGUCCACGCCGUAAACGAUGAGUGCUAAGUGUUAGGGGGUUUCCCGCCCCUUAGUGCUGCAGCUAACGCAUUAAGCACUCCGCCUGGGGAGUACGGUCGCAAGACUGAAACUCAAAGGAAUUGACGGGGGCCCGCACAAGCGGUGGAGCAUGUGGUUUAAUUCGAAGCAACGCGAAGAACCUUACCAGGUCUUGACAUCCCAUUGACCGCUAUGGAGACAUAGCUUUCCCUUCGGGGACAGUGGUGACAGGUGGUGCAUGGUUGUCGUCAGCUCGUGCCGUGAGAUGUUGGGUUAAGUCCCGCAACGAGCGCAACCCUUGUUCUUAGUUGCCAUCAUUUAGUUGGGCACGUCUAAGGAGACUGCCGGUGACAAACCGGAGGAAGGUGGGGAUGACGUCAAAUCAUCAUGCCCCUUAUGACCCUGGGCUACACACGUGCUACAAUGGACGGUACAAACGGUUGCCAACCCGCGAGGGGGAGCUAAUCCGGAUAAAACCCGUUCUCAGUUCGGAUUGUAGGCUGCAACUCGCCUAC